RNAcentral lists this long non-coding RNA (961 nucleotides) under Moschus moschiferus (Siberian musk deer). RNAcentral's name for it is "lncRNA (ENSMMSG00000010000.1)". Lineage: Eukaryota; Metazoa; Chordata; Mammalia; Artiodactyla; Moschidae. The record is from RNAcentral.
GGAGGAGAGCGAGGCGCGCACAGGGUUAAGCUAGCUCCCUCCCCGGCAGGAGGGAGAGGCGGCGGAGGGGGAAGGCGGCUUUCAGCCUCAGGCUGGGUACCUGAGAGUUAGUUGUACGUUAGAAACCCCGCCGUCGCCUGCGAGUGUGGCAUCUUCCAGGCUCACCGCGGAGGAACCGGGGGGCUCGGAGAGCAUCCCAGCGGCGGCGCGGUCCCUACCCCGGGGGGUCUCUGGCCUGCGGUCCCGCGCGUCCAGGAGUCCAGACGCGCCAGCUCCGCGCCCGCCGCUGCGUCCACCCAGCCCGGGGAUCGGGUUGGUAGUUCUCAACGAUGGGCAGGAGGGACCUUGGCGGCGACCCCUAAAAUAAUACCAUGCCCCGGGAGCCCCGCUGCUGUGGAGCCAGCUCCUUCCCUUCCCACCUCCCCGACCCUGUCGGAUUCGGAUGAGCGCAGUGCGAGGAGCUGCGGCCGCCAGGAUGAAUGCUAACUUCUGAGAGAGCAACGCUCCCCUAGGCCCCCACCCCUGCGCACGCUUCAUCAGCUGGUACUGUCACCAGCGUUAUCAUCAAGCGGUUGCAUCUAAAACCACCAGCUUACCCCCUGCCCGCAAUCGGGGAUCCAUGAGUGGCUAAGAUGAGGAGGGUGCUGGUUCGUUUUCCUUCGAGUUGGACCAGAAGAUCCCCCCCCAAACCCGCCCCGCACCCCACACACACCUAACCAAGUGUUUCUCCAGCCGUGGUGGACUUCAGCGGUCUGGCACUGAGCUCCCUCCAGAGCGUCUUCUAGGCGCUCCAGUGGUGACGGCGAAGGCGGGAGUAGCCCACCGGGCUGAACUGGGAUUGAGUUCCCGACUCCGGGUGCGCGGGACGCGGGGAGGGGAGCGGUUAACCCCUCCCAGCACUGGGUUGAGAGGCGAGGCGCGGACAGCGAGGAGCUUGCGAGUGGAGCCUCGCCAGCCGCCA